GACGAACGCUGGCGGCGUGCUUAACACAUGCAAGUCGAACGGACGAGUGAGAUAAGUUUACUUAACUCACAAGUUAGUGGCGGACGGGUGAGUAACACGUGGAUAAUCUACCUGCAACACCGGGAUAACGCUGUGAAAACGGUGCUAAUACCGGAUACGUUCCCUUGUGCGCAUGUAUGAGGGAAGAAAGCUCAGGCGGUUGCAGAUGAGUCCGCGGCUGAUUAGCUAGUUGGUGAGGUAAAGGCUCACCAAGGCGAUGAUCAGUAGCCGGCCUGAGAGGGUGAACGGCCACACUGGGACUGAGACACGGCCCAGACUCCUACGGGAGGCAGCAGUGGGGAAUCUUCCGCAAUGGGCGCAAGCCUGACGGAGCAACGCCGCGUGGGUGAAGAAGGCCUUCGGUGUAAAGCCUGUCUUAUGGGAAGAAGUCAGUGACGGUACCAUAGGAGGAAGCCACGGCUAACUACGUGCCAGCAGCCGCGGUAAUAGUACUA
Molecule: ribosomal RNA, 494 nt
Filed under: uncultured bacterium
Lineage: Bacteria
Description: bacterial SSU rRNA
Rfam family: Bacterial small subunit ribosomal RNA
Source: RNAcentral